CCUACGGGUGGCAGCAGUGAGGAAUAUUGGUCAAUGGACGAGAGUCUGAACCAGCCAAGUAGCGUGAAGGAUGACUGCCCUACGGGUUGUAAACUUCUUUUAUAUGGGAAUAAAAUGAUUCAUGUGUGCCAUUUUGUAUGUACUAUAUGAAUAAGGAUCGGCUAACUCCGUGCCAGCAGCCGCGGUAAUACGGAGGAUCCGAGCGUUAUCCGGAUUUAUUGGGUUUAAAGGGAGCGUAGAUGGGUUGUUAAGUCAGUUGUGAAAGUUUGCGGCUCAACCGUAAAAUUGCAAUUGAAACUGGCAGCCUUGAGUACAGUCGAGGUAGGCGGAAUUCGUGGUGUAGCGGUGAAAUGCUUAGAUAUCACGAAGAACUCCGAUUGCGAAGGCAGCUCACUAAACUGCAACUGACACUGAGGCUCGAAAGUGUGGGUAUCAAACAGGAUUAGAUACCCCGGUAGUC
RNAcentral lists this ribosomal RNA (460 nucleotides) under uncultured bacterium. RNAcentral describes it as "partial 16S ribosomal RNA". It matches the Rfam family "Bacterial small subunit ribosomal RNA", at positions 338 to 795 of the family's 1533-position model. The record is from RNAcentral.